Long non-coding RNA from Carassius carassius (crucian carp), 254 nucleotides. RefSeq lists it as uncharacterized. NCBI's taxonomy places the organism in Eukaryota, Metazoa, Chordata, Actinopteri, Cypriniformes, Cyprinidae. The record is from RefSeq and is a predicted model, not a curated record. The transcript is spliced from 2 exons.
CACACACACACACACACUGUGAUUUAACAGUCCAGCAGACGCAGGCUGAAACAAGCGGAAAAACCCUGAACGUACAAGGAAUUUCCUUAUUUUCUUUCUCUUUCUUUUUUCAUUAAGGGAACGUUACUUUUGAAUGUUCUAAAACAAUGAAUAACUCAAACGUUUCAGGAGAAACAUUGCACGAAUAGAACCUUGAGAGAGAGACAUAGAGAGAGAGAGAGAGAGACAGAGAGAGAGAGAGAGAGAGAGAGAGA